GAUCAAGACCGAGAAGUAGUUCCUCCGCGCUGGCGCCGCCGCCGCCACCGUUUUUCCCUCCUGGUGGUCCUGCCGCCAGAACGUCUUCACCCUCGCAGCCUCCGCCGCUAAGUCCUCUUACCCGCCGCCAGCCCGUCAUCUCCCUCGCCGGUCUCUUCGGGGGAGUCACAUGCGCCUGGUAACAUCUACUUCUCUGUUACCUUAUCCGCCAGAAGAGCUUACGAGCGUUCGUGCGUCUGCAAUAUCAGCAUUUAGGAAACUUGGAAGAAAGUCUGUCCUAAAUUUGCUAAAAUGGCAAUGUGCACCACCUCUGUUUUCAGGAAAUCAGCCCCACUUCAGCGCAUUUUUCUCUCUCAAAAGGGCAGCAACUGCAGAAACAGGCCACAGAGACGGAUCCCGCCACUGCAGCUAAAGCAGCUUUUCUAGGCUCGAUGAUAAAUUUCUCCAGGUCCUGCAUGCUCCCUCAACUCCAAAGUCUUCUCUGCCACAAAGCUGCUGUGGUCAAACUUCAGAACUCGUAACUCACUUUUAACCUCUCCACCACAUUUAAUUCUUUUCUUGGGAGCUGUGGACCUUGUUUUAUCUCAUUCAACCUUUUUCCUAAAAAGAAGGAAAAUUUUAUUUA
Musa acuminata subsp. malaccensis (wild Malaysian banana) is the source of this 625-nucleotide long non-coding RNA. RefSeq lists it as uncharacterized. The record is from RefSeq and is a predicted model, not a curated record. Lineage: Eukaryota; Viridiplantae; Streptophyta; Magnoliopsida; Zingiberales; Musaceae.